Molecule: long non-coding RNA, 523 nt
Organism: Sciurus carolinensis (gray squirrel)
Lineage: Eukaryota; Metazoa; Chordata; Mammalia; Rodentia; Sciuridae
Exons: 4
Source: RefSeq, a predicted model, not a curated record
GGCACCGGCCCCCGGGGGCCCCUGCGGACCGCGCGACCCACGACCCUUGCAGCCGGAUCCCACAGCCCGCAGGAUCCCACAGCCCGCCUGCUCCUUCAGUCCUCCCAGCCUCCGCCCGCUUCCUUUCACUUUCUCACCGGCCUUUCACCCUUUCCCAUUUCUUUUUCCCAGUGAAACAAGGCCCAGUCACCAGCCUAACAGCCCAGUGAGACAGCUCCUUCUGACACUUGGCCGAACUUGCCUCACAAUAUCGCCCAGUCUGACCAAAUUUGCAAUCUUCUUGCCUCAGACUUCGGCGUCACUGAGAUUACAAGGGUGUACCACCAGCUAUUUCAGUCGGCACAGACCACUUCCUCCUCUCUCUUCCUAUCAACAUAAACUUCAUGUUACCUCAGGGCUUCACGCAUAAGAAUGUGUUCUCUAACUGAGCUAUGCCCCCAACUCAAAAGGGUAUUUUUAUAAAGCUAGAGAAAGAGUGGAAAUGUGACAUCAGGCAAAGGGAGCAGCAGCCUGAAGAAGGGAG